RNAcentral lists this long non-coding RNA (3117 nucleotides) under Marmota monax (woodchuck). The record is from RNAcentral. Lineage: Eukaryota; Metazoa; Chordata; Mammalia; Rodentia; Sciuridae.
AAAUGUGUUGAUCAGCUUGAUUUUUGUUUAUAGGCCAAAUUUUAAUAGAACAAACAGCCCAGGCUUCCAGAAGAAGGUUCAGUUUGGAAAUGAAAAUACCAAACUUGAACUUAGAAAAGUUCCUCCAGAAUUAAAUAAUAUCAGCAAACUUAAUGAACAUUUUAGUCGAUUUGGAACAUUGGUUAACUUACAGGUAAGAGCUAUAAAAUGAUUCUCUUGUCCCUGCUUAAUUAUUUAGGGACCUUAAUAAGAAAACCACUUUUAUAAAGCAAUAUUAUGGAAAUUUGUUAAUAUUCUAAAGUUGGGCAUUAUAAUAGUCUGUUUUCAGUUACUGUAGUGAAAUACCUGAUGCAGGCUAACCAGAGACGCAUAUUUAGCUCUUAGUUUUGGGGGCCGAAAGAUCAGGUUGUGCCAUUGGCUUGUCCUCUAAUGAGGGCCUAAGGGUGGAUGGUAUUACGAAAUGGGAAUACAUGUGAGAAGAAGUGAUUACAUCUCAAAACAUGAACUGAUGCAGUCGUGCUUGCUAUUGUGAGAGCUCAGAGAUCCACAAGAACUAUCUAAACAAAUUCCUUAACCCUUCUAAGUGCUGUUCCCCUGAUAACCUAAAGAACUCCCAUAAGGCCCCACUUCUUAAAGGUUUACACUAUGUCCCAACAUCAUUACACUAAGAAUAUAGGCUUCUAACACAUGAAUGCUUAAAGGGACACACUCAUCCCAUAUCCAAACCACAGCAGACAUGAAAUGAAACUACCUUUUAGAGAAAAAAAAAAAAAAAAAAAAGAUUGAUUGAUAAGUUGUUGAUUUAUACACUGAGUUAUAUCUCCUGCCCUUUUGGACUUUUUAUUUUGAGAUAUGGCCUUACUGAGUUAAGUUCCUCAGUCUCCUUCGUUGCUGGAGGGCAAGAAUUUUGAUUGAUGAUAUUAGUAUAAAUAUUUUACCUAAUAAAGGAUGACACAAAGUUAAAUAAUCACUCUACUAAAAUAUAAUUUAGUAGUUUUCAGUUCCUGAGUUUUUCUAGAUCAUAUUGUCAGAAUCAUUUCAGCAAAAUCAUUUGAGCAAAUAUAUUUCUGUAAUUUCUGUGAUUGGAUGCACUUAACAGUUAAUUUUGGGAACCAGUGUCAUAAUUUGUAACUAAUUUAAACAUGUACUUUUCUCUACCACUUUUGAACAUUCUUUAAGAAAAACAACAAUAUAAGUUAUGUUUGAUGUCACUUAAAAUUUGUCCUUGGGUAUAUAAAACUUGGGAGAUUUUUAAGUAUUAUUUAACUUAUGUGACAUGUUGAAAGUGUUGUUUUCCCCCUUAUGCCUACUUUUCAACUAAAUUGUUUUAUAAUCUAAUAAAAUAAAUUUUAGAGGAUAUAGCUCAUUCUGAGUUGAUCUUUAGAAACUUUUCUUUUAUAAAGCACAGGUAUAAAAGUAAUGGAGGGGAAAAAAUGCAUGUACAGAGUAGAGCAAUAGAAAUGAAUGCAGAAUUUUAAGGAAAUGUUUUCUUUUUAACUUGAUGUUUUCCACACAUUUCUCUACCCAUAUAAAAUAAUAUAAUUGUUAUAAUUUAUCAUUUGCUGUUCUAGAUUGUUUUUAUAUACCUAUUGCUGUGUACAUGCAAAAAUUUUAAAAAUGUUUAUGGGUCCAUAGUAUGUACAUUACCCUGUAGUUAUUUAUAGUUAUUUACUUUGGAAUAUUUCAGUAUCUUUUUAUGGCAGUUCAGUUUACUCUACCACAUUUAUAUCUAGACAUAAAAAAGUUUUCAGAAUAUUCCUUUUUUCAUACAAACUUCUGUGGUUGAAUGCAUUUAACAGAUAAUUUUGAGAUAUACAAAAUUAACUACACUGGUAAUAUUAAUUUAAAAAUUGUUUCAAAGCAAAACAUGGUAUCUCCCUAUUGUUUCUGUUUGCAUUUAUGUAAUUACUAAUGAGGUUAAUAUCUUAUUUUUGUUGUUCCUUUCCUGUGUCUUCAUAGUACUUGCAUUAUUAUGAUUUACAAAAUACAUGUUUUGCAAAAUCAUUAAAAGUACCCUUGUUAUCAUAAUUAAAAAUUGAUGUUAUUCUAAUAAAUGUUAUAAUUAUUAAAAUGCCACCUAAAAUUAUUUUUAUAGUUUUAGCUAAUAUUUAUUGAAUAUGUGCUCUUUUUAAGUGUUAUUGCUGUAUUCUUAAAACAACACUAAUAAGUGGGUAUUGUUGUUAUUAUUUAUAGAAGAGGACACUGAGGCACAGAAAGAUUAAGUGACUUACUUGCUCUUAUGUGAGAGUCAAAUCAGGAUUUGAGCCAGGCAGUGAGAUUCAGACCAUGCUGUUAAUCUCGAUCCUUUACUGCUGUUGCCUGUGGCUUAUAUACCACACUUUCGAAAAUACUGCUAUUACGCAAGAAUAGGAAAUUGGGAGUGAAAAUCUUGGAUUUUUUUUUUUUUUAUUAGUUGUAUGAGUCUAUCUCUAGAAACAUUCUUUGAAUCUGUUUCCUAUGUGUCAAAUGUGAUUGAUGGUGCUGUUAUAUAGGUCUUUUUAUUUUCUUCUGAUCUUAGAAGUAUUGUGAAAAUUACAGAUUUGAAAUAUUGUACAGAUGUUUUUUUCUAUGUUAUUUAGUUGGAAAUCACCCCUUCCAAAGUAGUCUUUGCCAUCACAUUCAUUGAUGUACAGAAAUUUUUUCUCUUGGUCUGUAUUAAAAUUUGAGGUAAAAAGAGAAAUAGUUUUAAGGGUCUGUAUAUAAUAUUUGUGCAAUCAGCUUUGCUGGUAAACAAGAGUCUCUUUUAAUGCACUAACAAUCCUUGGCUAUUUACUAUUUCUCCUGAAAUAAAAGUAGACUAUGGUCAUACUUUAGAUAUAAGGUAAACAAAGAUGGGCAUCUUACUUGGAAGGAAGAGUGUAUGACAUCUUGAGGAAUUUUGCUGUAUGAAGAAACAGAUUCCUUUAGAAAUUCACUUUUCUUAACAUUUUAAAUCAUAGGUUGCAUAUAAUGGUGAUCCUGAAGGUGCCCUUAUCCAAUUUGCAACAUACGAAGAAGCAAAGAAAGCAAUAUCGAGUACAGAAGCAGUUUUAAAUAAUCGCUUUAUUAAGGUUUAUUGGCACAGAGAAGGAAGCACCCAGCAGUUACAAACUACUUCUCCAAAGGUAACGAGAGAGA